Molecule: long non-coding RNA, 314 nt
Filed under: Lotus japonicus
Lineage: Eukaryota; Viridiplantae; Streptophyta; Magnoliopsida; Fabales; Fabaceae
Description: long non-coding RNA (LJAP_LNC001175)
Source: RNAcentral
AGGAGGGGGGAAUUAGGGUCAUCGAUCUUAAUGAUGAUUUCUAUCUGGUUUGGUUUUCUUCUGAGAAGGACUAUCAGUAUGCUUUGUUUGAGGGCCCUUGGAUGAUCGCUGAUCACUACCUCCUUGUCCAGAGGUGGCGACCAAAAUUCAGAGCCAAGGAUUCAGAGAUGCGUAGGGUUGCUGUGUGGGUUCGCUUUCCUGAUCUGCCAGUGGAGCUGUAUCAGAGGCAGUUUUUGCAUAGGGCUGGAUCUAUGGUUGGUACUAUGCUGAAGAUCGAUAUGCAUACCUCCAUUCACUUUAGGGGGAAGUUUGCG